GGGGGCCCGCACAAGCGGUGGAGCAUGUGGUUUAAUUCGAUGCAACGCGAAGAACCUUACCUACUCUUGACAUCCAGAGAACUUUCCAGAGAUGGAUUGGUGCCUUCGGGAACUCUGAGACAGGUGCUGCAUGGCUGUCGUCAGCUCGUGUUGUGAAAUGUUGGGUUAAGUCCCGCAACGAGCGCAACCCUUAUCCUUGUUUGCCAGCGAGUAAUGUCGGGAACUCCAGGGAGACUGCCGGUGAUAAACCGGAGGAAGGUGGGGACGACGUCAAGUCAUCAUGGCCCUUACGAGUAGGGCUACACACGUGCUACAAUGGCGCAUACAGAGGGC
This 333-nucleotide ribosomal RNA is filed under the name Vibrio parahaemolyticus. RNAcentral's name for it is "bacterial SSU rRNA". It matches the Rfam family "Bacterial small subunit ribosomal RNA", at positions 915 to 1247 of the family's 1533-position model. Lineage: Bacteria; Pseudomonadati; Pseudomonadota; Gammaproteobacteria; Vibrionales; Vibrionaceae. The record is from RNAcentral.